CCUACGGGAGGCUGCAGUGGGGAAUCUUGCACAAUGGGGGAAACCCUGAUGCAGCGACGCCGCGUGGAGGAUGACGGAUUUAGGUCUGUAAACUCCUUUUGCAGGGAAAGACUUAGGACGGUACCCUGAGAAUAAGGACCGGCUAACUACGUGCCAGCAGCCGCGGUAAGACGUAGGGUCCGAGCGUUGUCCGGAUUUACUGGGCGUAAAGAGCGCGUAGGCGGUCUGUUAAGUGUGAAGUGAAAUCUCCAGAGCUCAACUCGGAAACUGCUUUACAUACUGGCAGACUUGAGGAAUGCAGAGGUGAAUAGAAUUCCUGGUGUAGCGGUGAAAUGCGUAGAUAUCAGGAGGAAUACCCAUGGCGAAGGCAGUUCACUGGGCAUUAUCUGACGCUGAGGCGCGAAAGCGUGGGUAGCAAACAGGCUUAGAUACCCUAGUAGUC
Molecule: ribosomal RNA, 442 nt
Filed under: uncultured Armatimonadota bacterium
Lineage: Bacteria; Bacillati; Armatimonadota
Description: bacterial SSU rRNA
Rfam family: Bacterial small subunit ribosomal RNA
Source: RNAcentral